This 753-nucleotide ribosomal RNA is filed under the name uncultured Actinomyces sp. RNAcentral's name for it is "bacterial SSU rRNA". It matches the Rfam family "Bacterial small subunit ribosomal RNA", at positions 28 to 776 of the family's 1533-position model. The record is from RNAcentral. Lineage: Bacteria; Bacillati; Actinomycetota; Actinomycetes; Actinomycetales; Actinomycetaceae.
GACGAACGCUGGCGGCGUGCUUAACACAUGCAAGUCGAACGCUGAAGGCUCAGCUUGCUGGGCUGGAUGAGUGGCGAACGGGUGAGUAACACGUGAGUAACCUGCCCUCUUCUUUGGGAUAACGGUCGGAAACGGCUGCUAAUACCGGGUAUUCACUGUCCUUCGCAUGGGGGGUGGUGGAAAGGUUUUUUCUGGUGGGGGAUGGGCUCGCGGCCUAUCAGCUUGUUGGUGGGGUGAUGGCUUACCAAGGCUUUGACGGGUAACCGGCCUGAGAGGGUGACCGGUCACAUUGGGACUGAGAUACGGCCCAGACUCCUACGGGAGGCAGCAGUGGGGAAUAUUGCACAAUGGGCGAAAGCCUGAUGCAGCGACGCCGCGUGAGGGAUGAAGGCCUUCGGGUUGUAAACCUCUUUCGCUCAUGGUCAAGCCGCAACUUUGGGUUGUGGUGAGGGUAGUGGGUAAAGAAGCACCGGCUAACUACGUGCCAGCAGCCGCGGUAUACGUAGGGUGCGAGCGUUGUCCGGAAUUAUUGGGCGUAAAGGGCUUGUAGGCGUUUGUCGCGUCUGCCGUGAAAUCCUCUGGCUUUAACUGGGGGCGUGCGGUGGGUACGGGCUGACUUUGAGUGCGGUUGGGGAGACUGUAACUCCUGGGUGUAGCGUUUGAAAUGCGCUGAUUUUGGAAAACACCGGUGGCGAAGGCGGUUCUCUGUGCCUUUCUGAUGUUGAGGAGCUAAAUCGUGUGGAACGAAACAGG